RNAcentral lists this ribosomal RNA (483 nucleotides) under uncultured bacterium. Its description in RNAcentral is "partial 16S ribosomal RNA". It matches the Rfam family "Bacterial small subunit ribosomal RNA", at positions 30 to 506 of the family's 1533-position model. The record is from RNAcentral.
AUUGAACGCUGGCGGCAGGCCUAACACAUGCAAGUCGAGCGGAUGAAGGGAGCUUGCUCCUUGAUUCAGCGGCGGACGGGUGAGUAAUGCCUAGGAAUCUGCCUGGUAGUGGGGGAUAACGUCCGGAAACGGGCGCUAAUACCGCAUACGUCCUGAGGGCGAAAGUGGGGGAUCUUCGGACCUCACGCUAUCAGAUGAGCCUAGGUCGGAUUAGCUAGUUGGUGGGGUAAAGGCCUACCAAGGCGACGAUCCGUAACUGGUCUGAGAGGAUGAUCAGUCACACUGGAACUGAGACAGGUUCAAGACUCCUACGGGAGGCAGCGUGGGGAAUUAUUGGACAAUGGGCGAAAGCCUGAUCCAGCCUUGCGGCGGGGGUGAAGAAGGGCUUCGGAUUGUAAAGCCCUUUAAGUUGGGAGGAAGGGCAGUAAGUUAAUACCUGGCUGUUUGGACGUUACCAACAGAAUAAGCACCGGCUAACUUCGU